Molecule: transfer RNA, 50 nt
Filed under: Aneides lugubris
Lineage: Eukaryota; Metazoa; Chordata; Amphibia; Caudata; Plethodontidae
Description: partial tRNA-His
Source: RNAcentral
GUAUAUAUAAUUUAAAUAAAAUAUUAAACUGUGACUUUAAUUAUGAGAGU